Amphimedon queenslandica is the source of this 464-nucleotide long non-coding RNA. RefSeq lists it as uncharacterized. The transcript has 3 exons. The record is from RefSeq and is a predicted model, not a curated record. Lineage: Eukaryota; Metazoa; Porifera; Demospongiae; Haplosclerida; Niphatidae.
GUUUUGAGCAACAUACUCAUGUCAAUUUUGAUCACAAUCAACUUAAACUUCCCCCUCUCUCUCUCUCUCUUCCUUUCCAUUUCUAUUAUUUUAGUCAAUAGCAAGUCCUGCUAUUAAAGAAACCUUGAUUGCAGUUUGGGGACAAUAUAACAAUAUAUUUAUACUUGAUCCUAAUACACUGGAGUUCAUUUGUGCUUUGAAAUCCUCUCACAAUCCAAACUGGAUAUCACAACUUAUCGAAGCUGCAGGUGUGGAGUCUAUCAUUGGUAAGCUUCAUUGAGAGGAAGGUUCUGCUGCUCCUGAUUUCAAGUCUCAUUUCACUGGCUCUCUCUCUGACUCAUGGCAGUCCCCAGCCACUCCUUGUUCCCUUAUUGACUCAGUUGUCAGUUAUCAUAUUCCUGGGAAUUCCCAACCAUUGCAAUCAUUACAUGCUCAAUGGGACAUGGCCACAAAUUGCCAAAUUG